Molecule: ribosomal RNA, 253 nt
Filed under: uncultured bacterium
Lineage: Bacteria
Description: partial 16S ribosomal RNA
Rfam family: Bacterial small subunit ribosomal RNA
Source: RNAcentral
UACGUAGGGGGCAAGCGUUGUCCGGAUUUAUUGGGCGUAAAGAGCGUGUAGGCGGCUAGAUAGGUCCGUUGUGAAAACUCGAGGCUCAACCUCGAGACGUCGAUGGAAACCAUCUGGCUAGAGUCCGGAAGAGGAGAGUGGAAUUCCUGGUGUAGCGGUGAAAUGCGCAGAUAUCAGGAAGAACACCCGUGGCGAAGGCGGCAUCCUGGACCGAGAUUGACGCUGAGGAGCGAAAGCUAGGGGAGCAAACGGG